AGCGAACGUUUGCGGCGGGCCUAACACAUGCAAGUCGAACGCACUAGCAAUAGUGAGUGGCGCACGGGUGCGUAACACGUGGGUAAUCAACCCUUCAGCCUGGGAUAACGACUCGAAAGGGUCGCUAAUACCGGAUACGGCGCGAGAGGCUUCGGCUUCUCACGAGAAAGCCACGCAAGGGGGCACUGAAGGACGAGCCUGCGGCCCAUCAGCUAGUUGGUGAGGUAAGAGCUCACCAAGGCUAAGACGGGUAGCUGGUCUGAGAGGAUGAUCAGCCACACUGGAACUGAGACACGGUCCAGACUCCUACGGGAGGCGGCAGUGGGGAAUAUUGCGCAAUGGGCGAAAGCCUGACGCAGCCACGCCGCGUGAGCGAUGAAGGCCUCGGUCGUAAGACUCUGUGGGAGAGACGAAGAAAGACCUGUGAAGAGCAGGCCUUGACGGUAUCUCCUUAGCAAGCACCGGCUAACUCCGUGCCAG
This 480-nucleotide ribosomal RNA is filed under the name uncultured bacterium. RNAcentral's name for it is "bacterial SSU rRNA". It matches the Rfam family "Bacterial small subunit ribosomal RNA", at positions 29 to 511 of the family's 1533-position model. The record is from RNAcentral.